RNAcentral lists this ribosomal RNA (254 nucleotides) under uncultured bacterium. Its description in RNAcentral is "partial 16S ribosomal RNA". It matches the Rfam family "Bacterial small subunit ribosomal RNA", at positions 524 to 776 of the family's 1533-position model. The record is from RNAcentral.
UACGUAGGGGGCAAGCGUUGUCCGGAUUUAUUGGGCGUAAAGAGCUCGUAGGCGGUUGGGCAAGUCACGUGUGAAAUCUCCACGCUCAACGUGGAGGCGCCACGUGAGACUGCCCUGACUCGAGUCCGGGAGAGGGGGGUGGAAUUCCCAGUGUAGCGGUGAAAUGCGUAGAUAUUGGGAGGAACACCGGUGGCGAAGGCGGCCCCCUGGACCGGUACUGACGCUGAGGCGCGAAAGCGUGGGUAGCAAACGGG